UGUACAACUUUUAUUUUGAAGAAAAAAGUUGAGCCUCAGAACGGGCUGUUUUAAAGACAGGGAGGGACUUAGCUUUUCCGAGCUUGACCAGCAUGUGGAAGGAGUGCUCUCAUGGCUGCAAUAACCUAGGGAGCUCCUACCUGGGUGCCACGCGGGUAGGAAGGUUUCUGUUUGUUUUGUUCUGUUCCUGAGGGUCCUGUGCACUUCUCUUGUCCAUGUCAACGUGACUCGGUGUUUUUGCACACCCUGCUCUGUGGGGGAGUGCCCCAACGUGCCUGUCUUAUGUGGCCUCUAUGGACACACUGCUCAGCUGGCAGAGAGCAGGGAAGUUUUCUCGAGCAUCCAAAAAGAGAAAGAGAAAACUACUUUUUCCUUCUGGGCUCCUUGCAGCACAAUAGAUCAGGAUAAGCGUCCACAUUCUCUCCCUGGAUUUCUGGAGUGGUUUCCAGGAACAAGUUAAACUUUCACCUUUAAAUGGAUGACCAUGUCACAAUCAGGAGGAAACAUCUCCAAAGACCCAUCUUUAGACUAAGAUGCUUAGUGAAGCAGCUGGAAAAAGGUGAUGUUAACAUCGUAGACUUAAAGAAGAAUAUUGAAUAUGCAGCAUCUGUUCUGGAAGCAGUUUACAUCGAUGAAACAAGAAGACUGCUGGAUACUGAUGAUGAGCUCAGUGACAUUCAGUCGGAUUCGGUCCCAUCAGAAGUCCGGGACUGGUUGGCUUCUACCUUUACACGGAAAAUGGGGAUGAUGAAAAAGAAAUCUGAGGAAAAACCAAGAUUUCGGAGCAUUGUGCAUGCUGUUCAAGCUGGAAUUUUUGUGGAAAGAAUGUACAGAAAAUCCUAUCACAUGGUUGGGUUGGCAUAUCCAGAAGCUGUCAUAGUAACAUUAAAGGAUGUUGAUAAAUGGUCUUUUGAUGUAUUUGCCUUGAAUGAAGCAAGUGGAGAACAUAGUCUGAAGUUUAUGAUUUAUGAACUAUUUACCAGAUAUGAUCUUAUCAACCGUUUCAAGAUUCCUGUUUCUUGCCUAAUUGCCUUUGCAGAAGCUUUAGAAGUUGGUUACAGCAAGUACAAAAAUCCAUAUCACAAUUUGAUUCAUGCAGCUGAUGUCACUCAAACUGUGCAUUACAUAAUGCUUCAUACAGGUAUCAUGCAUUGGCUCACUGAACUGGAAACUUUAGCAAUGGUCUUUGCCGCUGCCAUUCAUGAUUAUGAGCAUACGGGAACUACAAACAAUUUUCAUAUUCAGACAAGGUCAGAUGUUGCCAUUUUGUAUAAUGAUCGCUCCGUCCUUGAAAAUCACCAUGUGAGUGCAGCUUAUCGACUUAUGCAAGAAGAAGAAAUGAAUGUCCUGGUAAAUUUAUCCAAAGAUGACUGGAGGGAUCUUCGGAACCUAGUGAUUGAAAUGGUUUUGUCUACAGACAUGUCGGGUCACUUCCAGCAAAUUAAAAAUAUAAGAAACAGUUUGCAGCAGCCUGAAGGGCUUGACAAAGCCAAAACCAUGUCCCUGAUCCUCCAUGCAGCAGACAUCAGUCACCCAGCCAAAUCCUGGCAGCUGCACCACCGAUGGACCAUGGCCCUGAUGGAGGAGUUUUUCCUACAGGGAGAUAAAGAAGCUGAAUUAGGGCUUCCAUUUUCCCCACUUUGUGAUCGGAAGUCAACGAUGGUGGCCCAGUCCCAAAUAGGUUUCAUUGAUUUCAUAGUAGAGCCAACAUUUUCUCUUCUGACAGACUCAACAGAGAAAAUUAUUAUUCCUCUUAUAGAGGAAGACUCAAAAACCAAAACUCCUUCCUAUGGAGCAAGCAGACGAUCAAAUAUGAAAGGCACCGUGAAUGAUGGAACCUAUUCCCCAGACUACUCCCUUGCAAGCGUGGACCUGAAGAGCUUCAAAAACAACCUGGUGGACAUCAUCCAGCAGAACAAAGAGAGGUGGAAAGAGUUAGCUGCUCAAGGUGAGCCUGAUCUUCAUAAGAAUUCAGAAGAUCUAGUAAGUGCCGAAGAAAAACAUGCUGAGACACAUUCAUAGGUUUGAAACACCUUAAAGGCUUCUGUCAUUUUAAACAUGAGAGGUGAAUGGAUAAAGAAGAUGUGGCACAUAUAUACAAUGGAAUAUAACUCAGCCAUAAAAAGAAACGAAAUUGAGUUAUUUGUAGUGAGGUGGAUGGACCUAGAGACUGUCAUACAGAGUGAAGAUAAUGAGAACAGCACUAAAAUAUCCUAAAUCCUCAAUUUUCCACAAACCUAUAUUCUCCUCUUUCAACACACACUUGGAAACAGGCCAUUUUAUGGACUCAUAUAAGAGAAGAACAUAAAUUCUGAACUAGUAAUUCUAGCCAAAUAAAUACACUCAAAGUUGCUACCAGAGAUUUUGGCCAGUGCUUCUGCCAUUGCUCUUCCUCCACAAUUUGGCCUUCUUCAAUCAAGCCAGAGAAAAUUUUAAGACAAAAGUUGGACAGUCUUAAUUUUUCAUCAGUUUGAGCCCAGUUAUUGCAUAGGCAACUAUGCAAUAUGUGUGCAGAAGAUGAGGCAUUUUAAAGUGUUACUUUCUUGCUUUGUUUUAUACAGAGUGCUGUAACUACAGUAAAUUUUUUAAGAUGUUAAGUAAAAGGAAAGCAAAAACAAAAUUAUAGAAAAAUAUUUUUUGCAGCUCUGAGGCUAUUUAGAUUGUCCUUGUUAUUUUAAAUACAUGGGAACAAAGUGAGAACCUGGGCUGCUCAGAAGCUGUGGUUGAAGUCCUAUGACAACAAUGGAGCAUCAGAGCCCUGGCUCUGUGACCUGAUGAACUCUUCAUUGUAACUCUCAAGCUGGGAAACCACAGUGAAACCUGCCCCUGAAAGCAGUGGACCAGCCUGCAUCCAUCCCUGUGAUUUCAAAACACUAAUGCAUCACCUACAUGGGUGUCAUCACAAUGCAAGUCACACAUUACCUACGAUCCAAGAUGACAAGAACCUCCAGCCAUUGUUGGAGACAGACACUAGAACUGAGAAUGGAAUUUGCCUUCUGGGGUGUUGAUCCCAUCAGGAUGUAACAAAAUAUACCACAGGCCAAGGGAUAAGUGACAAGAAGUGUGUGUGCGUGCGUGUCUGUGUGUGUAUUCAAAAAUGUCUAUGAAAAUGGAAUCCCACACUUUUCUGUACAGAUAAUGUUAUUUGACGUGGAGUUUAUAAUUUUACCACACAGAAACAAACUGCAACCCUUGGAGACUCUGCUUCCUUGUCAUGUUUUGCCUGAGCAUGUGCAGAGCCUUGCCUUUGCUCCAAACUGAAGAGCUACAUUUAUUUGUUAUUAGCUGACAAGAAAGGUCAAGCACAAGUAGGUGUUGUAACUUUUCACUGUACAAACUCUUCAAUGAUUGUGAGACUAAGCGAAUUUGUCUUUGUGAAUGGUAGAACUGGGUGGAAAAAAUUGAGUAGCCAUCAAUUAAAGAAUAAAGUGAAGGUGGGUUGUCCAUCCUAAUGAGUUUUCUGUUGCACAUGCUUCUUCCCUGGGUUCCACAAUGCUAAGCAAUAUUUUAGAAAUGGAUGCAAUCACAAGCUUUUAAGUCUAAGUAGUGGGAUUUUAUAACUCACAACUUAGAUCUCUUUUCAUGUGUAAGCCAUAUUCUAUCUGCAUAUUAGGUAUGCAUUUUAAUUUAAGAUAUAUUUGUGCAUAGACUGUGUAUAAGAUGCUUUUAAAUGUUCUGUGAAUAAGUUCCUUAGAUUUUGUUUCACCUGAAGCAUAUGUAGAACACAGCUAAAUAACU
Non-coding RNA from Kogia breviceps (pygmy sperm whale), 3738 nucleotides. Lineage: Eukaryota; Metazoa; Chordata; Mammalia; Artiodactyla; Physeteridae. The record is from RefSeq and is a predicted model, not a curated record.